GAGUUUGAUCAUGGCUCAGGUUGAACGCUGGCGGCAUGCCUUACACAUGCAAGUCGAACGGCAGCACGGGAGCUUGCUCCUGGUGGCGAGUGGCGAACGGGUGAGUAAUGCAUCGGAACGUAUCCUGGAGUGGGGGAUAACGUAGCGAAAGUUACGCUAAUACCGCAUAUUCUGUGAGCAGGAAAGCGGGGGACCUUCGGGCCUCGCGCUCUUGGAGCGGCCGAUGUCGGAUUAGCUAGUUGGUGAGGUAAAGGCUCACCAAGGCGACGAUCCGUAGCAGGUCUGAGAGGAUGAUCUGCCACACUGGAACUGAGACACGGUCCAGACUCCUACGGGAGGCAGCAGUGGGGAAUUUUGGACAAUGGGGGCAACCCUGAUCCAGCCAUGCCGCGUGAGUGAAGAAGGCC
RNAcentral lists this ribosomal RNA (407 nucleotides) under bacterium enrichment culture clone ALO1_GLFRUDD03G97QE. Its description in RNAcentral is "bacterial SSU rRNA". It matches the Rfam family "Bacterial small subunit ribosomal RNA", at positions 9 to 416 of the family's 1533-position model. The record is from RNAcentral.